RNAcentral lists this long non-coding RNA (1938 nucleotides) under Cricetulus griseus (Chinese hamster). RNAcentral's name for it is "lncRNA (ENSCGRG00015037404.1)". Lineage: Eukaryota; Metazoa; Chordata; Mammalia; Rodentia; Cricetidae. The record is from RNAcentral.
GGCUCCAUGAGGAUGAGAAAACAGAGCCCAAAGGGUAAGGCGUGUGGCCAUGUUUCCACUACUACCAAGCAAGGAACUAGUACUCAGACACAGGACUGUUUGAGGCCAAAGCAUUGUCUUCACAAAUAAAGGACCGUGAAUAGAUACAAUUACCUCAGACGACAUCAGUGAGCAUGGGAUAUCUCAAAGUGACAACCCAUGAGCACAGAAUGCAGAGGAAAAGGACUUUUUUUUUCCCACUACCACAUUUCACUUCAACUCCAUGAGGCUGAGAGAGGGGACAGUCUACAUUCAUGACAUCAGCAUGCAGUAAGGACAAUCAAGUGCUGGAUUGACAGAUGAAGUGUCUGAGCAGAAGGAGAGAGUGAACUCCACAGAAGACACAUGGUCUGUCUGCUUCCCUGCUAAAUCCACGGUAUGAAUGCUUGCAGGGACUGUGUCCCUUCUGGUAAUAAAUAAACAAAGAAUGGAGGGAGAAAACUUGUCUUAUUUUACUUCUUAUUUAUGAAAUCAAACCUUUCUGGAGAAGGAUUACAAGGAUGAAUGCUUGAAGCCAGGGAGACCUGCCGUCACUGGGGAACGCUCAACCUCAGAAGCCAGCAAUUAUUCUCUAUGGCUUCAACAAAGAACAGCUGCCCUUCAGAAGACAGAACCUGGGUGGAGACUUAAGCCAUGAAAAUAAAUAAUCUGGCUGUGUGCAGGGGCCCAAUCUGGAGGCUGAAGCCAAAGGAAGUAGAGUUUUGAGGGCAUUGUGAGUUACAUAGCAUGUUUGAGGCCGGCCGGAGCUACAUGGCACCAGCAGGCUUGAGAGAUGGCCUUACACAAGCAAGAGGAUCUGUCCUCUUCAUUGGGACCUAGACUCAGAAAGAGUUCUGUGACGAAUCCAGCUGACCAAGAAACCUGUGGAGGAGGAAGAGAAGGUAUUCCAAGCAGUGGAGUAAUCUGGGCAAAGUCAUGGAAUGAUGACAAAUUCUGGGACAUAGAGGUGACAGAGUCAGACUCCUGUGUGGUCCCUAUGCUAGUAAGGCAUAAUAGUGACCAGCUGAGAGGUAGACAACCUCAGGUGGUGUUAGACAAACCCAAGUUCAAGAACGGACACUGCACCAGUUCCAUCUUUCUGGCUUCACUCCCUGAAAAGCAAGGGCUGGGAGGAAGAUGGGAAGAAGUAUCCUCUCCCUCAGGGUGCCCUCGGCAAAGAUGGAGGAUAGCACCCAGAAGCUCUGAGGAGGCUUGUGUUUAAAGAGAAAACACUGAAACGGCUGUGUCUUUGCUUCAGCUUGCUUGAACCACAAUAUUUAUUUGGAAUUUGAAACUCAUUAAGAGUGGCUGUGAAGUGUUUACCCAGGGUAACUUGGGUUAUCAAGAGACUGAGAAAGUUUGACUGAAAUGACCCUGAAUCCCUUCUGAGCCUUCAGUGUGCCAGAGGUCUGCAACACAGGAAGCACAGGGAGACACUGUGAGACUUGGAAGUUGCUGUUGGUCUCCAACUCCAGCUCACACUUUGCCAUUCAGUCCCUGUGCAGGUUAAAGUCCUGGGAUAUCUGGAGUGUCAGAUGCUUCCUUCAUAACAACCUGGUAUCACAGACUUGUGGGCUUAUUUCAAAUAAGCAGUACUUGGCACAUAACAGGUCCCAGCCAAGUACAAAGCUGUGCACAAAGCUAGCCAAGGCUUCCCUCAGUAGCCUACUCCUUGGUCAGAAUAAGGUCCUUUUGAAUGCUUCCCAUGGGAUGUUCCCCUGCCCCCAAAUACACUAUCAGGUCUCGUUUAUAAGGAGAUAUAAUGUGGGUUUGGGCCUCAGAAUAUAGCUUCAAUGAAUUUUGGGAAUUUAGGUAUGUGCUUGGAACCACUCCAAGGUUAAAAAUCUUUUAAAAACUAAAGCAUUAUUAAAAUUAUCCUGAAAAUCUUAUCCACUGUGUUUUGAUGUCCAUCCAUUCCCA